GCAGCAGCCGCGGUAAUACGUAGGUGGCGAGCGUUGUCCGGAAUUAUUGGGCGUAAAGGGAGCGCAGGCGGACAUAUAAGUCCAUCUUAAAAGUGCGGGGCUCAACCCCGUGAGGGGAUGGAAAUUGUAUGCCUUGAGUGCAGGAGAGGAAAGCGGAAUUCCCAGUGUAGCGGUGAAAUGCGUAGAUAUUGGGAGGAACACCAGUGGCGAAGGCGGCUUUCUGGACUGCAACUGACGCUGAGGCUCGAAAGCCAGGGGAGCGAACGGGAUUAGAUACCCGAGUAGUCCCUGUCUCUUAUACA
RNAcentral lists this ribosomal RNA (302 nucleotides) under uncultured bacterium. RNAcentral's name for it is "partial 16S ribosomal RNA". It matches the Rfam family "Bacterial small subunit ribosomal RNA", at positions 508 to 809 of the family's 1533-position model. The record is from RNAcentral.